This is a long non-coding RNA of Centruroides sculpturatus (bark scorpion), 534 nucleotides long. RefSeq lists it as uncharacterized. Lineage: Eukaryota; Metazoa; Arthropoda; Arachnida; Scorpiones; Buthidae. The record is from RefSeq and is a predicted model, not a curated record. The transcript is spliced from 2 exons.
UGCGUCUACCAAUACCAGAAAGCCUUGCGUGAGUCGACUUUAGCAUUAUGUUACAGCAUAUCAUUCCUGUAAUAUCUGUCCGUAAUUCAUAUACUUAUAAGAAACUUUCAAAAUGGGAAAUAGCAGUUUCAGUUGUCCAUGUAUAAACACUGUUGCUAACAAAGAGAAAAUAGAUAUUAAGGAAGCAAAAGACGUGGACAUUGGGAACAAAUAUAACUCGACCGUGAAUGACGAUAAUCGUGAAGCGAAUGAAAGGAAAGCUCGAUGUGAUGAAGAAUCUCGUAAUUCUGAUGAUCAUAAUGCGAAAUAACAAAAUUAAAAAGUUUUAAACUCUGAGCCAUUGAGCAUAUUCGUAACAGUGUGUUGAGUCGUUGCAAUUUCAUCAUUUUAAGCAAUAUUUCCGUUAGUGUGUGAAGAUUAAUUUUAAAAUUUAUAAUUGAAAAUGUGCCAAACUUUUACAAUUUGUAUCUUAUGUAUUAAACGAAUUAUUUAUCAAAUAAAUGACUAUUAUCGUCGAUUUUGGUAUUAGAAACA